This is an unclassified non-coding RNA of 303 nucleotides. Its record names the gene 7SK. It matches the Rfam family "7SK RNA". From Rfam's summary of the family: 7SK was discovered as an abundant small nuclear RNA in the mid-70s but a possible function has only recently been suggested. Two independent studies have found that 7SK RNA binds the CDK9/cyclin T complex (known as elongation factor P-TEFb). The record is from Ensembl.
ACGAGGGCGAUCUGGUUUUGACGUCUGUCACCUCGUUGAUCACCAGGGUUGAUCUGGCUGAUCUGGCUGGCUAGGUGGGUGUCCCCUUUCCUUUCUCACCUCUCCCUGCCUAUCCCUCCCAAAGCUGCAUGCUCGGUUGAAGAGGACAACCAUCCCCAAUAGAGGAGGACCGGUCCUCGGUCAAGGGCAUGCAAGCAGUUGUGCUUCCCUGCUAGAACCUCCAACAAGCUCUCAGAAUAGACACCUUGUAGACAGUGAUGUAGGGGCCGUGGAGUGGGUGAGUCCAUGGGAGGAUUUCUGCUC